UUAUUCCCAUUGAUGAACUAUGUUAGUAAUGAAUUUUUUCGCAUCGAUGAUUAUUCUCAUGGUGAUUAUAUCACCGUGUUCUCUUCCAUUGACAUUUUUGUCAUGUCUUUUCUCCUAUUGACGAGUCAUGUUAGUAAUCACUUUUUAUUAUCAAUGAUCAUUCCGAUGGUAAUUAUAUCGGUGACUUCUUUUCUCACCGACAAUCAUUUUGGUGAUCCCUUUUCUCAUAGUGGGGAAUUAUAUUAACAUUGAUUUCUUUAUACACCUACAGUCAUUCUGAUGUUGCUUAUAUCUACAGGUUUUAUAAUUCACAACACUUUUCAACCAUAUUUUGUGGAGCCCAUAUAAUUAUUCUUUUAUUUUCAUUCUUAAAUGAAUUAUGUGUAACAAGCUUAAAGUUUACUAAGUUUGAUCUUGAGGGGAGUGUUAGACGAUAUUUGGAUUCAAUGAAUAAUAUAAUCUAAGAUUUAGUUACUUUCAUUUUAUUUGAUUUUAUCUAUAAUUUAUGUGUAUCUUAUUGAUUAUUAUUUGUGUUUUUAUUAUCUUAUCCCUAAGUUAAUUGAAGGUUGCGACGAGCAGGUCAAAAUAGAGAACUUGAGAUAGAGAGAUAGUUCAUGGAUGACGAUGGAGCUACCAUGGACUGGGACGAACCACACCGCCAUGAGACAAACCAUGCCACCGUGAUAAGGUGAUAGCGGGGUUGUCAUGGACUGUGUGUCCUCGUUUCGGCAAGACUCAUAUUGACAUGAGAAUGAGACAAUUAGCAACAAAUUUACAAACUUUGAACAUCUCCAUCGGAGAAUACAAAUUUCAUAUUUAUUUGGGU
Molecule: long non-coding RNA, 826 nt
Filed under: Lupinus angustifolius (narrow-leaved blue lupine)
Lineage: Eukaryota; Viridiplantae; Streptophyta; Magnoliopsida; Fabales; Fabaceae
Description: long non-coding RNA (LANG_LNC002387)
Source: RNAcentral